CAGGUUCACGUCAUUCUCCUGCCUCAGCCUCGCCAGCGGCUGGGACUACAGGUGCCUGCCACCACGCCUGGCUAAUUUUUUGUAUUUUUAGUAGAGAUAGGGUUUCACCGUGUUACCGGGAUGGUCUCAAUCUCCUGACCUUGUGAUCCGCCUGUCUCAGCCUCCCAAAGUGCUGGGAUUACAGGUGUGAGCCCAGCCACGCCCGGCCAAUUUUUUGUAUUUUUAGUAGAGACAGAGUUUCACCGUGUUAGCCAGGAUGGUCUCG
RNAcentral lists this long non-coding RNA (265 nucleotides) under Homo sapiens (human). Its description in RNAcentral is "HSALNT0278428". The record is from RNAcentral. Lineage: Eukaryota; Metazoa; Chordata; Mammalia; Primates; Hominidae.